AUUUUUAAAAAUGAUGAUAAUUUCAUACCCAACUCAGAGAAAUAAUGUUGAAAUCUAUUUAACAUGCAUCACCAUCUGAAUAAGUU
This is a small nucleolar RNA of Drosophila kikkawai, 86 nucleotides long. The record is from RefSeq and is a predicted model, not a curated record. NCBI's taxonomy places the organism in Eukaryota, Metazoa, Arthropoda, Insecta, Diptera, Drosophilidae.